CAGACUCCCUGGGUUCAACUUCAUCCUGAUUUUCACUCAGCCCCUCUGGUAUAAAGGUCGAAGGCCCAGAAAACAAGCAGAGGUAGAAUUUCUUUGCUUUGGCACUGUUAGGGUAGUCUACCACCAUGCCACCGGAGAAGCCUGCCUUUGUGGCCUGGGUUGUGAUCAGCUCCAACUGCUCUGAGUUCUCAGGGUACAGCUGCAGGACAGCUCGGGAUCCCCGG
This 224-nucleotide unclassified non-coding RNA is filed under the name Hevea brasiliensis (rubber tree). The record is from RNAcentral. Lineage: Eukaryota; Viridiplantae; Streptophyta; Magnoliopsida; Malpighiales; Euphorbiaceae.